UAAUACAGAGGUCUCGAGCGUUGUUCGGAUUUACUGGGCGUAAAGGGAGCGUAGGCGGUUCAGUAUGUCGAAUGUGAAAUCCCACGACUCAACCGUGGAAUGGCAUUCGAAACUGCUGGGCUAGAGUACUGGAGAGGAGAGCGGAAUUCUUGGUGUAGCGGUGAAAUGCGUAGAUAUCAAGAGGAACACCGGUGGCGAAGGCGGCUCUCUGGACAGAUACUGACGCUGAGGCUCUAAAGUUAGGGGAGCAAACAGG
RNAcentral lists this ribosomal RNA (256 nucleotides) under uncultured bacterium. RNAcentral's name for it is "partial 16S ribosomal RNA". It matches the Rfam family "Bacterial small subunit ribosomal RNA", at positions 521 to 776 of the family's 1533-position model. The record is from RNAcentral.